This 1125-nucleotide ribosomal RNA is filed under the name Roseodiscus aff. formosus. RNAcentral's name for it is "partial large subunit ribosomal RNA". Lineage: Eukaryota; Fungi; Ascomycota; Leotiomycetes; Helotiales. The record is from RNAcentral.
AAAGAAACCAACAGGGAUUACCUCAGUAACGGCGAGUGAAGCGGUAACAGCUCAAAUUUGAAAUCUGGCUCUUUCAGGGUCCGAGUUGUAAUUUGUAGAAGCUGCUUUGGGUGCGGUCCGGGUCUAAGUUCCUUGGAACAGGACGUCAUAGAGGGUGAGAAUCCCGUAUGCGACUCGGUGCCUAUCCUGUGUAAAGCGCUUUCGACGAGUCGAGUUGUUUGGGAAUGCAGCUCAAAAUGGGUGGUAAAUUUCAUCUAAAGCUAAAUAUUGGCCAGAGACCGAUAGCGCACAAGUAGAGUGAUCGAAAGAUGAAAAGCACUUUGGAAAGAGAGUUAAACAGUACGUGAAAUUGUUGAAAGGGAAGCGCUUGCAACCAGACUUUGCGCCCUAUCGAUCAUCCGAGGUUCUCCCCGGUGCACUCGGUAGGGCUCAGGCCAGUAUCGGUUUCGGUGGUGGGAUAAAGGCCUAGGGAAUGUGGCUUCUCUCGGGAAGUGUUAUAGCCCUAGGUGCAAUGCCGCCUACUGGGACCGAGGACCGCGCUUCGGCUAGGAUACUGGCGUAAUGGUUGUAAGCGACCCGUCUUGAAACACGGACCAAGGAGUCUAACAUCUAUGCGAGUAUUUGGGUGUCAAACCCAUAUGCGUAAUGAAAGUGAACGGAGGUGAGAACCCUUUAGGGUGCAUCAUCGACCGAUCCUGAUGUCUUCGGAUGGAUUUGAGUAAGAGCAUAGCUGUUGGGACCCGAAAGAUGGUGAACUAUGCCUGAAUAGGGUGAAGCCAGAGGAAACUCUGGUGGAGGCUCGCAGCGGUUCUGACGUGCAAAUCGAUCGUCAAAUUUGGGUAUAGGGGCGAAAGACUAAUCGAACCAUCCGUACGGYACAUAUAUCUGCUAGGUGGSUUAAGAGGUGGCCGAAAGUGCCUAUUUAGUUCCUAGAUCUUGGAACGACACUGUCAAAUUGUUUCGGGGACGUCCUGUUGACUUCCAAGCUACUGCAGYCUUAUCGAAAGAUAUAGGUGCGCACCAGGGUAAKGACCUCGGGUAUAGKAAUAACGCUUGGUAUAGGGAWAAUUCCGCANNCAAGUCCUAAGGGUAUCUAUUGCCUAUGGAUACYGUUYCCGAACUAMA